Molecule: ribosomal RNA, 508 nt
Filed under: uncultured bacterium
Lineage: Bacteria
Description: partial 16S ribosomal RNA
Source: RNAcentral
GGAGUUAGCCGGUGCUUCUUCUGUGAGUGAUGUCCUUCCUGCCGGCUAUUAACCCGCAGGCCUUCUUCCUCACUGAAAGUGCUUUACAACCCGAAGGCCUUCUUCACACACGCGGCAUGGCUGGAUCAGGGUUGCCCCCAUUGUCCAAUAUUCCCCACUGCUGCCUCCCGUAGGAGUCUGGGCCGUGUCUCAGUCCCAGUGUGGCUGAUCAUCCUCUCAGACCAGCUACGGAUCGUCGCCUUGGUGAGCCGUUACCUCACCAACCAGCUAAAUCCGACAUAGGCUCAUCCGAUAGCGCGAGGCCCGAAGGUCCCCCGCUUUCCCCCGUAGGGCGUAUGCGGUAUUAGCCUGGGUUUCCCCAGGUUAUCCCCCACUACCGGGCAGAUUCCUAUGCAUUACUCACCCGUCCGCCGCUCGCCACCAGGGAGCAAGCUCCCCGUGCUGCCGCUCGACUUGCAUGUGUUAGGCCUGCCGCCAGCGUUCAAUCUGAGCCAUGAUCAAACUCUGA